GAAACUUGGCUAGACCACAUUAGAGGACCAUGUUGACCAAAGAUAUCUUAAUUCAUACUCACCAGUAUUCCUUAUAUGCUGAUAUCCUGAAUAUAUAUUCAAUUUACUCCAUUUUCCAACUACUUAAUUAACAAACAACAGUAGCCAUCAUAUUUUCAUCAACUUAUUUUAAUUAUUGAAUAUUAGAAUGUUUAAAAGAGGAAAAGAAAUAUGAUAUGCCUCUAAAAUACCAGUUAUAAAAAACCCUGCAAAAGGGUUGUGU
This 262-nucleotide long non-coding RNA is filed under the name Bos taurus (domestic cattle). RNAcentral describes it as "long non-coding RNA NONBTAT023617". The record is from RNAcentral. Lineage: Eukaryota; Metazoa; Chordata; Mammalia; Artiodactyla; Bovidae.